RNAcentral lists this long non-coding RNA (260 nucleotides) under Zea mays. RNAcentral describes it as "long non-coding RNA NONZMAT003211". Lineage: Eukaryota; Viridiplantae; Streptophyta; Magnoliopsida; Poales; Poaceae. The record is from RNAcentral.
GAGAAAGCAGACAUGCAUGCACCCGGCCACACGCCUUCUUGUGCACGGAGCGUCUGGCCCGGGGGAAACGGAUCUUGAUUUGGUUUCUCGGUAAGAGCAGCUUCUGCACGGAGCGAAUCGUGGUGCACGUAUCAGGAGGAGGCACGCAACGGGCUCCUUGCUCCGCCGCUGCAGCAACGCCAUGCCGACACGUGACGUGGCGCGGGUGAUAUUCACUGGUACACUGAAGCUGCUGCUCGCUUGCUUGCUUUCUAGCUGAU